This 75-nucleotide transfer RNA is filed under the name Calorimonas adulescens. Its description in RNAcentral is "Thermoanaerobacteraceae bacterium A05MB tRNA-Gln". It matches the Rfam family "tRNA". From Rfam's summary of the family: Transfer RNA (tRNA) molecules are approximately 80 nucleotides in length. Their secondary structure includes four short double-helical elements and three loops (D, anti-codon, and T loops). The record is from RNAcentral. Lineage: Bacteria; Bacillati; Bacillota; Clostridia; Thermoanaerobacterales; Thermoanaerobacteraceae.
UGGGAUGUGGCCAAGUGGUAAGGCUCCAGAAUUUGGAUCUGGCAUUCGCAGGUUCGAAUCCUGCCAUCCCAGCCA